Molecule: transfer RNA, 71 nt
Filed under: Lachnospiraceae bacterium
Lineage: Bacteria; Bacillati; Bacillota; Clostridia; Lachnospirales; Lachnospiraceae
Also listed under: 1 other name
Description: tRNA-Gly
Rfam family: tRNA
About the family: Transfer RNA (tRNA) molecules are approximately 80 nucleotides in length. Their secondary structure includes four short double-helical elements and three loops (D, anti-codon, and T loops). Further hydrogen bonds mediate the characteristic L-shaped molecular structure. tRNAs have two regions of fundamental functional importance: the anti-codon, which is responsible for specific mRNA codon recognition, and the 3' end, to which the tRNAs corresponding amino acid is attached (by aminoacyl-tRNA synthetases). tRNAs cope with the degeneracy of the genetic code in two manners: having more than one tRNA (with a specific anti-codon) for a particular amino acid; and 'wobble' base-pairing, i.e. permitting non-standard base-pairing at the 3rd anti-codon position.
Source: RNAcentral
GCAGGGUUAGUACAUCGGUAGUAUGCGAGCUUCCCAAGCUCGAGAGGCGGGUUCGAUUCCCGUACCCUGCU